This is a long non-coding RNA of Hydractinia symbiolongicarpus, 10513 nucleotides long. RefSeq lists it as uncharacterized. Lineage: Eukaryota; Metazoa; Cnidaria; Hydrozoa; Anthoathecata; Hydractiniidae. The transcript is spliced from 2 exons. The record is from RefSeq and is a predicted model, not a curated record.
UAAAAUUGUGUAAACAUAGAAGAACUGAUACCGGUUGUGUUAUCUUGCGGACCCGUCAGUGGCCAAGAACUCUCCCACCUUGAUUAAGGUUAUAUGUUCGCCCUUGAUUUUAUUCUUUGUUCAAACAUGGCUGCAGAGAGCAUGUUUGAGCUGGUCCGUCUAGCUAUGCAAAAGAAUGAUUUGUGUUAUAUACAAGAUAUAUAUUUGAAAUAUUGUAAUAAAAUAAGGAAUCUUCCUUCCUUCUCAAACGAAGAUAUAUUGAACUCAAUCAAUAACAACAACAUAUUGAGAAAUUUUUGAUGCUGAAGUUUAUCUUCCAAAGAUUUUAUGAAAAGACCUUAACAAGUGUGCAGUAGCCAUGUGCUCUGAAAGUACUGGAAAUUGCUUGUACAGUUCUGCUUCCAUCCUGCUUGUUGGUGACAAUUCGUUUGUUGAGGAUCUCAGAAUUUUAACGUCAUUGGAGUUGUUUCUGUGUUCUGAAUAUUACAGUAGGCACCCUGUUUUGUUGUCGUUAUUUGAAGAACACAAAGGUAAGGUAUUUAAAUCUGUUGAUAGCAUUUUGCGAAUGGUAACAUCUUUUGAAGCUCUUGAUGCUUCAGGUUCUUCGUGCUCUAAUAAGUUGGUAAAAAAUGAAGCCAUUGGCAACUGUAAAAAUCAAAAGUGGUGUAGCUUACUUUGCAUAUUUGCUUUGUCGUCAGUGUCAUUGGCCAACAUAAAUAUAUAUUUUCCGGAUUGUGGUGACUCAAGGGAUAAAAUUUUAUUUAAUUGUAUAAUCAGUCCAUGAAAUCCCACUCCUUCUUUAAGGACAUUGAAAUUUCUAUUUUGUUUACAAAGUUUUAAUGUUGACUCAAGUAAUCACCUUUAAGCCUAAUCAUUUUGUUCCCAUAAUUUUUGUGCCUAACGGUACAAAGCGAAAGUUACCGCACAUCACAAAAAAAAAAAAAAUGUCUUGUGUGCCUACCAAAAAAAUUUCAGUUCAGUCAAAGCUCAGUUUUUGGACUGAUAAAUGUAGUGACACUUUAAUUUUUCCAAGAGUUAUGCCAUUAAUAAAUGUUCAUAAACCUGUUGUGUCAAAUCCUUUAACCAUCACACCAAGUUUAGGCAGCAAUAGUCUCAUUUUUGAAUCCUCACAUACAAUUUGUCAUCCACCUGUCCAAUCCCAUGUUGCAACAACAAGCAUUGUCACACAACAGAUUUCACAAUCAACUGUAAUUGUAACAUGCCAGACAGUUUAUUACCUGUGAAUAGAUUUGAUGUGUCAUUGUACCGUGAAAAAAUGAGAACUUUGAAAAAUGACACUUCAGCAAUUCAAGACCUCAUUAAAAACGUUUUUAAACCAAAUAACAAUUAUGUGUUCCCAAAAACUAAAAGAUGCUUUCGUUUUGAAUGGUUAAACAAAUUUCCUUGGUUGUGUUAUUCACCAGCAGUUGAUGGUGCAUAUUGUCUUCCGUGUGUUUUAUUUGGAGAGAAAUUUCCAACCAAAACCAACAAAAUUAAAAAACUGUUUUCUGAGUCAUUUAGAUAUUGGCCAGAUGCCAAUGCUCAUUUACUAGCUUUAUAAGUAAUUAUUUUGGUAAGUCCCAACCAAUUGACAUUCUUGUUGAUUGUAACAGGAGAAAAAAAAUUGCUGAAAAUAGAAAAAAGCUUGUCCCUAUUGUUCAAGCAAUAAUCUAUUCUGGUAGGCAGGGCCAGGCAUUAAGAGGUCAUUGAGAUGACUCCCAGUAUCAUGGUGAAGUAGGGGAGUUUUCUUGUGGAAGGGUGGGGAAUUUUGUGGAAUUGUUGAAUUUUAGGGUGCAAGGUGGAGACACUAUUCUUGCUGAGCAUUUGAAAAACAGCCCUAAAAAUGCAACCUAUAUCUCCAAAACAACACAAAAUGAGUUAAUAAGUUGUUGUGGUGAAUUUAUUUUGGAUAAAUUAGUUUCUGAGAUAAAAAACAAUGUGUUUUAUUCUAUUCUUGCUGAUGAAGCCUCUGAUUCAUCUCACAAAGAGCAAAUGUCUUUAGUCCUGCGUUUUGUGGAUGAUUCAUUUAACAUUAAAGAGGAAUUCAUCCAGUUUAUCCAUUGUGAUGAAGGACUUUCUGGUAAAGACUUACAGUCUGUUUUAUGCAAGUGUUUAGAACAUUUGAAGUUGGACAUAAAAGAUUGUAGGGGUCAAGCAUAUGACGGUGCAGGUGCUGUGGCUGUCAGGAGCUUUAUGGCAACUUUUAACUACCUAUUACGUUAUUUUAUUUCGUUUUAUAUCACCUCCACGCACUUUACCCCCGGGUUUAGCUUGCUCCUGCUAAUAGUACCCGGUUUAUUGGAGCGCUAGCUGACUGUACUUGUCUGGCACACUAAAUAAUAUAUAAUGUUAUUGAAUGUUGCCUAGGCAAGCUGAUGAGCCCUGAUAUCGGGCGAAACAGUCUGAUAAUAUAUAAUUCCUACCGUUGUUUUUAUUAUCCCCUAACUUUAUACAACAAAUACAUUUUCCAAAAUUAACGCAAAAGAGUGGUUUUACACGUUAAAGAGUAAGAGGAGAUUGGAUUUUAAUUUAGCCUGUUAACGCUUUAGAAUGCCGUAAAAAGCAAAAACUUUGCUUUGCUUUUGCUACGCAAACGGCUGCGCUUUUUUGCUUCGCAAAAUUUGUGACUGACAUAAAAUAAAUUCUAUAUCCGCCCUGUUAAAUAAGUUACACUUUAUAUAGCCUAUAUAAAGCCUAUAUAAUAAAUAUAAAGCCUAUAUAAAGUGUAACUUAUUUACAGCGAAAAAACAAUAGUAAUAAAUUAUUAUCUAAAAUAUAAAAAAAUCACCAACACAAACACAUCUCAUGUAUCCAUAAACAAAAACAAUCCUUUGCUUCAUCACGGAAAAAAUUGUGGUUGAUUUUAUUCACCACAUGGAAAACUACAUUAAAAGAAUGAUUUAUCUAUACAACAAACCUAGUAAAAGUGGAUCGCAUAUGCAGUUAUAAUUAUGCAUCUUUUGUUAACAUUAUUCAAUCACUAUUUAAUUGGCCAAUUAAAGUUUUAAGUCAUCUGGAACAAUGCAAUAACGUAAUUCUUAUGGGAAUUUGCAUAUUAUUAGCAUGCGAUAAGAGUUACAUUUUUUUGACGUGAACAGUUCCCUUAUUCUUCGCGUUUUAUGUUCUUUGCAUGUUAUUUGUGAGCGUAGUUAACUAAGCUUUCUUCGAAGAUAUCAAAUUCAGUUUCUCUCAAACGAAAAAUUUAAAUUUAUUUCAUAGUAAACCCUGCAUUACAAUGAACCAAUGACACAAAGUCGGCGUGGUCGCAACUUAGUCUCUUCAGUAAUUUAAGAAAAAAUUAUAUUUUUUCAGGUGAGUGAGGCCAAUCCAGCUCAAAACAAGUGAUUUUUCAAUAUUUACCAUCACGUGACCAACACCACUUGAUCUUUCUUCAUGUAUUACCUAAAAUUUUUGUUCUAAUAAUAAAAAAUUGCUGUGGUUAAAUAAGAAUUAAUUUUUAAAUAAAAAUAACGUUAUUAUUCGCAUUGAUGUGAGCUUGGCUUCACGCCACGUUAUAGUAUACACAUAGCUGUUAAUUCUUUUACUUGGCAAUACACAGUUAACUCCCGGUACCUCAAACCUGUAAAGCCUAGUUCUUACCAACGCGUUUAUUAUUAAACAGAUAUUUAUUACUAUUCUCAUGAAUGAGUUUAUUUUCAUCUAAUUAAUUAUGCAGUAAGAUGAUGCGUUCACACGAACUUAAUUUCGGAACAAAAGUUAAGAUUUGUGAGUAUCGAUAUGGACAGCGCGGAGAUUUUAGAAUUGGGUUAUCUUUUUUUAAGUAUAAUAAAAACUAAAUUUAAAAAAUAAAUUAAACAUUAAACCUUGUUCGUACUCUAGUUCUUCAUUUAUCGCCAAGUGUUCUCUUUCUGUCUUUUUUUAUAUUCAUUGUCAGCUUUAUCAUGGGGACAGGGGUAGAGUCUCACCAGCUCAGACAGUGCUUCCUCUGCUAAUAUUCCAUUUUAGAUUUCAUUACGUAUUAUUAUUUUCGUGUUUUGUCACUGUCGUUCUUUCAUUUUUUCACGCAAUGCUCUCAUGAUGGCCACUCUCACUUUGAGCAUUGGCGGUAAAAAGAGAAGAUUUCCUUGACGUAGAAUAAACUCAUGCUAAACGCAUGAUUUUUAUAUCGAAACCUUUUGGAUAUUAAAGCUUAGUUCCCACCAAUGCGCUUUUUGAUAAACAUAUUCCGCCCCCCUGACGUUUUUUUUUUCAAAACUUUCUAAUGCUAUGUUUCAUGGCUACAAUACUUACUGAGUUUCAAUAAUUAUCUAUCUAAGACACGUGCAUGCCAAAUUUUUAGGUCCCAUACCUCUCAGAGGCUUUAAUAUUGGCUAUUACACGAAACUACCCCUAAAAAUCUUUGUGAAAACAUUCUAGUAGUGAAAAUAUAAUAAAUCUUGUUAGGAUUAUCCUUAGAACUUGAAACUUAAAGCACAACUUUGUUUUACCAAGAAGAAUCAAUUUGCAAGUUUUAGACACGUGAUUAAUCCGAUUUCCCGAUUUUUGCGGAUAUUACCCCUAAAAAAAUCCCGGAUUAUCGGGCACUGUUUUGACACUUUUUCAUGCAAUCUAUGUAAAAACCGGAAAAUAUGUAAAAUAACACUUAUUUAGCUUUCAGAAACUACAAACAGAAUGUAAAUUCGCUCUAGAACAGAAGUAAUUUAAUUUUAAGCAGAUAAUAGCAUUUUAAACAAAUUUCAAGCUUUCGAUGACGUCACAGAAAAUGUGCUGACGCAAGCAAAAAUUUGCUGCCGUUAUUUUGUUCCUUUUUUUAUAUACUAUAAGUGUAUUAAGUUAAUUUCAAUUUGGACAAGACUGAAAGUUAUUAAGGGUGCGGGUAACCAAAUUUCUGAAAGUUGAUAGGGAACAAUUAUGAUGUCGAAAGGUAGCCUAGAAUAAACUCGCUUGUUCAUGAUAUGAUAAUAUCUAAAUUAUUUAAUGACAAUGACUUAACAGAAAAGUAGUAAUCUUCUUAAAGCGGAUUAGACCAAGAUAGGUGAGCAAUGUUUUUGAUACUGCGGUUAGCACCCACUAAAUUAAACACUGGAUAACUCGAACUUUCAUUAUCUAGAAAUGUUUUCUUGGGUCCAUUGAACUUUCGUCAAUGCUUUCCUAACUCAGAUUAACUUAAAUCUCGGAUAACUUAAACAUUCGUUAACUCGACUAAUUUUCCGUCCUCCCUGAGUUUAAUUUAUUCGGAUAACUCGAACUUUUUACUCGAGAAAAGGAAAUGAAAGACUAGCAACUGUCAGAUAUUAAUUCUUAUUAACUCCUGUAGAUAGAUCGUGUUGCCUAUCAAGAAAAAUUAACAAGGCACUUGCCAAGAACAUCAAAAUUCACCUUUUCCUAGUAACUGUUCUCCAACCACCUAAAAAAAAACGUUAACUCGAACUAUAAUCUCAUUUUAGACUAAAUUUGACUUACAGGAGCUUCGUUUAAUUCGAAUAUUCGUUACGUCGAACUUUUUUCCCCGGUCCCUUAACUAUUCAGUCCGGAGUUUUUCGAACAUAUUAUGACGUACUCUGUAUGGAAAGUUAUUAGGCAAAGGGGGAAUCCUUCCCAGUCCUAAUAUUUUUUGAUAGGGAAUACAGUUGCCUGUCAAGAAGACAAACACAACAAAAAGCGAAAUGUUCAUCAUCAUCAUUCUCGCCUUAACGUCCGUUUUCCAUGCUAGCAUGGGUUGGACGUUGUUCGACAUGAUAAUAUCUAUAUUUUUCAAUAAUCUGCUUUGCCUCUUUUGUUCAAGGCACACACGCUUGUAGAAUUAUUAAUAAAGGCGAUAAAAUGUUUUGAUAACAGAAAUUAAACAUCCUGUUCUCUUCGGCUAAUACAGAUUUUUGCCGGCUCGCGAUUUUUUUUGUCAUCCAAGUUAAUUAUGAUUAAUAACUUUAGUUUUAAAAUGUAGCGACAGGAAUGGCGACAUGGUUUUGGAAGUGGAGCAUAUUUAAUAUUUAAACUUCAGUGUCCAUAAUCUCACUUCGUAUCCAUGUAUCCCUUAAGACUUUUAUAAGCUGUCUCUUCAUAGAGUAAAAAAAAUGAAGAAAUAAGCAUCAAAUUUAGUCGGUUAUCUGAACUCUUAAAAAUUAUUGCUGAUGUCAGCAUGACAUCUUUUCAGAUUUUUGUAAGCCGUUACGUGGAUUAUUUCACAAUUCCGACAUGUUUGGAUGUGCGACUAACCAACGUAAAUAGAUUGACGAUUUUUCCAAAUUUGAAUAAUUGCUCAAAAAACUUCUGAUAUGACCAUAUUUUUUUCAAGAAUUGUUUAUUGUGGACUGUUUUUCUUUUUUCACAAGCAUACCUUGUACCUUUUGUAAUAAAAUGCAAUUACACAGCUGUCGUUGUAAAAAGCACACAAAAUAAUGAUCCUACGAAGGACGAAUUUCUGAGGACCGGUGGACCCGUGAAUUCUUCCACGGACUAACGUAUAAUCUCUAUCUCUGUUAUAACAAGACGUAUGAUAUACGUAAACAACCUCGCGAAUAAAGUUUACAAAAAGCUAUCUAUUAAAUUGUGAUUUCUGUUACAAAGUUAGACAUGACAUAUUUUGCUAUUCAGAUGGGCAAUAACAUUUCUUGUGGACUACGCAGUUAUUUUUCGAAAUUGAUUUGUGAGAUCUUCUUGAACGGAAAAUUCCUCGAAAUUUCAAUUUUCGUUGGGUCAGUCUGGGGUAAACUGACUGACAGAAAGAAGAAAGCGAGAACGAGAAAUUCUUUUCGCUACAAAAAGAAUUUCGUUCUCGUAAUUAUUUAUAUAUGGUGGAGCGUCUUCGUUUUUCUCUUACGUAUUGUUGUGAAAAUUUUAUUUUUCGCAGACUACUUUCCAGGCAUUUGGGGGGAGACCUUAAUUCUGCCUAUAUUCACUUUUGAAAACUUUGGUGGAAACACCUUUACUUUACCAGUUAGUUAAAUAAAGCUUGUGAACACUAAUCUUAUCUUUUUAAAAAAUAAACAAUAUGCAGGCGCUGCAUAAACUAUCUCGCUAUUGAAAAUGCACAACUAUGAAACAUCCACAAUGCACCCAAUUUUACAAUUUCUGCUAACAAAAAAUACAGCCUAUCAUUCAUGGUUGAAAGUCGCGCGAUUGAAACGUUUAUGAGCUUAAACUCCAUUUAGGUGACAAAGAAUCAAAAUUUUGAUGUCACUAUCAUAUUCAACAUACUUUUUUUGUUAACUGUGCCAAAUUUUGUCGAAAGUAGAGUUUUUUAAUUUUCGAACAAAUUUUGGCCUAAAAUGACAUUUAGGUGACAAAAAAUCAAAAUUUUAAUGUCACCAUGUUCAGCAUACUUUUUUUGUUAACUUUGCCAAGUUUUGUCUGAAAUAGUUUUAAUUUUUGGACCAAUUUGGCCUAAAAUGACGUUAAGUGACAAAAAUCAACAUUAUGGUGUCACUAUUAUGUUCAGCAUACUUUUUUUGUUAACUGUGCCAAGUUUUGUCGAAAACAAAUACCAAAUUUGGCCUGAAACGUCAUUUAGAUGACUUCCAAGUACUUAGAGAGUUUAGGUACGAAAUUUAAAUCUGUGACGUUGCAAUUGAUUAUUUCGGACAUGGUUAGUUACGAGUUAGUAAAAAGAAAAAAAAAGAAAAAAUAGUUACCAAGAUGAGAUUCGAACACACGACUACUCCCGUGCCGGUGCUCAGAGAGGCAAAAAUUUCCAUUCUUGUAGGACACAUUUGCGUUUUAAUACAAGCUCACGAGCUUGUAAUAACCCUCGUCUGUCUUUUCGUACAUAUUGAAAGUAAAAAUAAGUAAUAACGUGAUUUAUGUUGGGCGAUAUGGUUUUUGAUUUCCCUUGAAAAAGCUUUUCCGCGGGCGAACAAAAUUUGGGAUGAGGCUGAAUGUACAGUUUCCGUAAAAUGAAAUUCACGUGUUUUCUCCGUUACCCUAGUUAGUGUGUUAGAAUAGUUAGUGUACCUUACUUCUGCUUUAAUCGCCUUUGUCGUUGAACGAAACUAAUGUCUUUUAGAACAAGGACUGGGAGAUAACUUCAGGCUAGCUGUUACCUACAAGUUGCUUUGUUUUUAAAACUUUAAACCCAGCAUUGCUUUUAAGAUGUUACUCAUAUAAAAAGUGUGUAGGAAAGGCUGAGACGCAACGGAUGUUAUAAUAUCUAGAACAUUCUCAGCGGCCAUUACUGGCGAGUUUUGAAUAGAUAAAAAAAACUUUGGGCCGAGGAAAAUUUUUUCCCACGAAGUUUAAGUAGGAGUCAUGCCUUAAAAAAGCAUUGCGCGUUGUUCGUUUAACUUAUCAAACGCAGCUGGGAAAAGACAACAAAAUAAUGAUUGAGAAUGCUAUAAAUUAAUUGUAAUAAAUUAAAAAGCCAAUUAUUUACACGUUAAAACAACAACAAAUUCAUAAACCUAUAAAAGAUCAGGAAACAAAAUGUUCUUCAUCGCGGUGACUAAAAAAUAACAACAAUCAUUUUAACACAUAUGCAGGAGUGUACCUAAUAAGUAUAAUACACAUCAUUGAAUCAAGCGGUACAGAUUGGUUAUAAAAAUCGACUGUUAAAAUCAAAACGGUUUCAUGAUUUUGAUGUAACAUCAAUCCCUAAGGUUUUUCACAACACUCCAGCAGUCAAACUAUACACAAGUUAAUGAAAAUUAAACUCUGUACAUAAAUUUAAACUUUAUUACACAAGUACAAUUUUAUACCAUGAUGAGGUAGACAGUCUCAGACAUGCAAAAAACAUGGUGACCACAGAAAAUUUAUAUUUAAAUUCCAGGACAUUCCAGGACAAAAAUGUUUGAUAUUCCAGGACAAUUCCGGGAGAAAUUGCUAACCUUAAAAAUCACAAGCCUAAUAAAACCUUGACGCAAUGCAAGUAUUUGUGGACCGCUGGAAGCCAAAUAUGUUGCAGGAUUUUACAAAACUAGUUGUUAAUUAAACCUUUUGUCCUUGUCACCCGUACAGCGGUUCUUUGGGUCCUUGAUAUGCAGGCCUUAAGGUUGCCCAAAUAUUUUCGCAGAAGGUAAUGCAUUUUCCCAUUUGGAAAAUAUAAUUGAUUUAUGCUAGAAUUCAAUGAAAAUAGUUAGCCUUGAUCAGAGAAGUAGCGAUGAAAACAAGUGAUUGGGAGUAACAAUACAAAAAGGAGGAUAAAGGAAAGUGAGUGAGAGUGUACUGAACCCUUUUUAACGGUUACCUUGAAGUAGCAACAUCAAAACUUAUCAUUUUCCAUUCUGGUAAUAUAGCCAAUUUAUUGUUGAGGUUACAGUAAGUGAAGUGUCUAUCUGGACUAACUUUACCUCACCACGUUCUACGAUAUUUCUCCAUGAGAUGAAAAGUUUUUACACACUUUCGCUGUAAAGCUCAAUAUGUUAAUCCUCAUCUGGAGGGUUAGUUUUCACCGACUGAUAGCCUUGUGGUAGAGCGUUCGCUUUCAGUGCGGGAGGUCUUGGGUUCAAACCCUGGCCGAGUCAUGCCAGAGACUAUAAAAGUGUGAAUCUAUCCUUUCUGCUUAGCGUUCAGCAUGAGAAUAGGAUUGAUAUCUUAGGCGGUUGUCUAGUUGAGCGAUUGUUGUGCUUCCACGACUUUCGUAGCUCAAAUGGGAGCUUUAAAUGCGCUAGGACCCCCUUCGCAGGACCCUCGUUGAUAGCAGUACCAAUAGGAACUGAAGAGGCUAUCCUGGGUAAAUAAUAGUAAUAAUAAUAAUAAUAAUGUCUUAAAUUUUGAGGAAUUAGCACUUUAUUCAUAUCUUUGAAAGAAAAUUCACUGAAAAAUAUACCUUAAGGUCAUCCAGUAAAUUAGGUAUAGAGCAAAGUACACCUUUCUGUCUUUUUGGUCUGUAAACAAAGUUUUGACCACGUGGGAAAGUAUUUUCAACCAUUUUGAUGGGUUUAGCACAAAUAUUAUACAAAUAAAUUGGUUAAACACAAUGCAACUUUAUUUUCAGGUACAUGCACAUAAAAAAUUGAUUUCUCGGACCUUUCCUAAUCUUAACAAAAUUUGAACGCUAUUAUGUUAAUUUUGUAAAAUUUUGAAACUAAAAGAAAAACUUGGAUUCAAUCCAAAAAUAAAUUUUUCUUCUCCAUAGGCGAAGCUAAAAAAGAAAGUUCUAGAAGUUCCUUAAGAGACAUCGGUCUCUAAACACUUAGAAUUUUACUAACAUCGCAUUCAUUGAUUAUGGAAAACGUAUAAAAAUUAAUUAAAAAUUAUGCUUAAUGAUGUAAAAUAAAGAAGUUUAGGGGCUGAUCACAUGAGGCGAGCCGGUUCGGUUAGAUAGAUGUGCAUAUUUUACAUGGCUAGCCUCACAAAUAUCAAGGGGUAUACCCUGUCUAUUAUUUCCAGGAGGGGCCAUGGCUUAGAUGGAGAGUCCUAGAGUAUUUAAUGCUCAUUUUGAGCUACGCAGACCCAAUUAGUAGGGCCCACGCUCUACUAGACAACUCCCGGCAACAUCCAACGGCCCACACAGUGUGCCAUCUCCCCAAUUUCCCUCACAUGGCUUGGGUUAACCCGGGGCUAUGGUAACAUUCACUCGCCCAUGUUGAAUCGCCGUCAAGAGGAAUCGAACCCCGGU